GACGAACGCUGGCGGCGUGCUUAACACAUGCAAGUCGAACGAAGAGCGAUGGAAGCUUGCUUCUAUCAAUCUUAGUGGCGAACGGGUGAGUAACGCGUAAUCAACCUGCCCUUCAGAGGGGGACACAGUUGGAAACGACUGCUAAUACCGCAUACGAUCUAAUCUCGGCAUCGAGGAUAGAUGAAAGGUGGCCUCUACAUGUAAGCUAUCACUGAAGGAGGGGAUUGCGUCUGAUUAGCUAGUUGGAGGGGUAACGGCCCACCAAGGCGAUGAUCAGUAGCCGGUCUGAGAGGAUGAACGGCCACAUUGGGACUGAGACACGGCCCAGACUCCUACGGGAGGCAGCAGUGGGGAAUCUUCCGCAAUGGACGAAAGUCUGACGGAGCAACGCCGCGUGAGUGAUGACGGCCUUCGGGUUGUAAAGCUCUGUUAAUCGGGACGAAAGGCCUUCUUGCGAAUAGUGAGAAGGAUUGACGGUACCGGAAUAGAAAGCCACGGCUAACUACGUG
RNAcentral lists this ribosomal RNA (509 nucleotides) under uncultured bacterium. Its description in RNAcentral is "partial 16S ribosomal RNA". It matches the Rfam family "Bacterial small subunit ribosomal RNA", at positions 28 to 507 of the family's 1533-position model. The record is from RNAcentral.